RNAcentral lists this long non-coding RNA (22738 nucleotides) under Arachis ipaensis. Its description in RNAcentral is "long non-coding RNA (AIPA_LNC001075)". The record is from RNAcentral. Lineage: Eukaryota; Viridiplantae; Streptophyta; Magnoliopsida; Fabales; Fabaceae.
AAGUGGAGUAUCAGAGUUCUUCCAUGUAGGUACAAAACCAUCUGGAAAUCUAUCACCCUUGACAACAUCUACGGCAGCAAAGGACUCGAGUUCUGUCAUUUCUUGUGGUGUAAGUUUCACAGACAAGGCUCCAAUGUUGUCAUUAAAGUUCUCAAUUUUGGUGGUUCCGGGUAUGGGGCAGACAUCAUUGCCUUGGUGGUGAAGCCAUGCCAAUGCAAGCUGAGAUGGAGUACAUCCUUUCUUCAUGGCGAUUUCGUUAACCCUCUCGAAUAUAGUCUUGUUUGUCUCCAGGUUUUCAGGUUGGAAUCUAGGCAGAGCCUGCAACACAACACACAACAUAAGAUUUUAUAGUUUAUGUAUCAUUAUGAACAUUUGAAAAACAUAAUAUAGUAAGAUGCAGUGUUAUACAGGGAAAACUGUUAAAUUUGGAUUUGGUAUGUGUUAUGAAGUCAAUAUAUAUUACCAUAUAUCUUUUUAAGGACACUGAUUAACAAAAUCCUAACAAUAAUAAUAGUACUAGGUAAGUUAUCCACUAAAGUUUGACUUUGUUAAAAUUUGUUAAAAACACCAAGUUUUGAAGUAGAUGAAAAAGUUUGUCUCAGCAAAUGAAUAAGAGUUCUCUGGCUUCCAGUUUUGCUUCUCUAAGUUUAUUUAUUAUCAAUGUAACCAAUGAACAAAAUCUUAUAUAUCUGCUCUAUAAGAUGAUUACCAAUUAACAAACUUCGAUUCAAUUUCUAACCCAAAAAUUGUAUUAAGAACAAGCCAUUUUAAUUUAUAAGAAUAUUCGUUUUUUAAAUAGAAUAUUCCAUUAUCUUAAACGUUAUACUCACGGUACGGACUUUAUUGAAAAAAAAUUAACGUAUAGAGACUCAAUUAAAAGGAAAAAAAGUAUAAAGACCUAAUUGAAAAUUUUGCGAAAUUAUAGGAAUCAACAGACUAAUUAAACCUUAUUAUUAUGACACUUUUAAUGUAUGUUUAUUGCAUUUAAUUAGUACUUGAUGUUUCAAUUGAAUAAUAAUAGAUAUUAGUUUUUAUUUAUUAUAAAUAAAUAGAUAGAUAGAUUCUCUUUUUCAACCAAAAAUAAAUUAAGAUUACUAUUAUUAGAUAAUUUUAAAUAUUUUGUUUUAACUUUUAAUAAAUGCAUAACAAUUGUAUUAAAAAUCAAACUUUACACAAUUUUUUAUAAUAAACUUCUUGAUUAAUAUCUUUAUCGGACACAUAUUAGCCAAACCCUUUAUUAAUAGUCACUGGCAUGUGAAUUUUCUGGAUUGUCAAAAUCUUCACUACUACAAUCAACUGCAAGUUGACCACUAUCUGCAACUGAAUAAGGACUCUUUUUUCAUUGGCACAAAUUCUCCAUAAACCCUUAUUUUAUGUAUAGGCAGCAGAAUCCAAAAACCACUUCAAAGUUAAGAAUAUACAAAAUCAGCAGCUAGAAAUUUGGAAGGUUCACUGAUGUAACCAAAUUCAUUUCAAAAGGGAACACAUACAUGCCCUUCAUACUGAUCUAUUUAUUGAAAGUAACCAACACUCUUGAAGGUGCAAUGAUAAAAUAAACAUUGUGAUGAACAUGAUUAAACAGCUUUCCGAGAAGAAAGUGGUGGAGUAUCAGAGUUCUUCCAUGUAGCUAACAUAUCCUCUGCAUAUCUAUCACCCUUGACAACAUCUGCGGUAGCAAAGGACUCGAGUUCUGUCAUUUCUUCCCGUGUAAGUUUCACAGACAAGGCUCCAAUGUUGUCAUUAAAGUUCUCAAUUUUGGUGGUUCCAGGUAUGGGGCAGACAUCAUUGCCUUGGUGGUGAAGCCAUGCCAAUGCAAGCUGAGAUGGAGUGCAUCCUUUUUUCGCGGCCAUUUCAUUGACCCUCUCGAAUAUAGUCUUGUUCGUCUCCAGGUUUUCAGGUUGAAAUCUAGGCAGAGCCUGCAACAGAACACAAAACAUAAGGUUUUAUAAUUUAUGUAUCAUUGAUGAACAUUUGAGGAACAUAAUAUAGUAAGAUGUAAGUGUUAUAUAGGGAAAACUAUUAAAUAUGGAUAUGAUAUAUGUUAUGAAAUCAGUGCAUAUUAUCAUGUAUCUUUUUAGGACACUGAUUAACAAAAUCCUCAUAAUAUUAGUAGGUAAGUAAUCCACUGAAGUUUGACUUGUUAAAAUUUGUGAAAGGCACAAGGUUUUGAAGUAGAUGAAAAUGUGUGACUAUGAGCAGAAAACAUGAUUAAGGAAAUGCACAUCACACAAACCUUCCGGAAGUUGUUCUGCGACAAAUUAUCAAGCAACUUUGAUCCGGAUGAAAAGAAUCCGCGGCCAAGAGGACUAUAUGCAACAAUUCCAAUGCCAAGUUCCCUGAAAAGGACAAUAUUUGGAAGCCAAAAAUUCAGAAGUCCUAGAAAUAGAAUUGCUUGUUAAAAAGAACAUUAAUCCUUGUGCUUUAGAUUCACACCUGCAAGUUGGAAUUAUUUCUUCCUCGACAUCUCUGGACCAUAGAGACCAUUCAAUUUGCACAGCGGUUAUGGGAUGAACAGCAUGUGCUCUUCUGAUUGUUGAAGGCGACGCCUCAGAUAGACCGACGUACUUUAUUUUUCCCUCUUCAACAAGUUUCUUAAGCUCCCCAAUCUUGAUUAAAACAAUUACAAGGAAAAAUUUGAAGUCAUCAUACAUAUCUCUUCAUAUAUGCAAUUAUCUCACAUCCUAAGAUUGUAUCAAGUGUUUCCUUAACAAAGACACAUAUAUACUAAAUGCAGAUUGGGGUUGUUGUACAAUACAAUUGUGAUGCAAAGCUGGUGAUUUAUAUUUUGGUCCCAACAUAAUUACAGGUACCAAUUUCUAAGUUGAUCUAUGUAUAUCUGGAAUAAUAAUAGAGACAAUUUACUGAUUUUACAAGGACUAGAAACUUAUUUAACCCUCCAUUAAUGACAUCAAGUUGGUGAUAAAGCAAAAACAAAAAGAGAAAGAAAGAGGUCUAACAGUGAGUUCGAUUGGCACGCGAGUAUCAACUCUAUGCUGAAAAUAGAGAUCAAUGCAAUCAAUGUCAAGUCUCUUCAAGCUCCCCUCACAGGAAGCUCUCACAUAUUCUGGAUCUCCACGGAUAUCGAAUUUCCUUUCCCCAAUAAUAUUGAUUGAAAAUUUGGUUGCCAAUUCAACCUUCUCUCUCAGCCCUCCCUUCAGAGCCUGCCAAAAAUUGAAACUAACUACAAUAAAAGACAUGAUAUCUUCACAUAGAAAGAGUAUACAUCCCAAUAACUGUUUGAUCUCUUAAACAAAGUUUCACAAGCCGAGACUCAAACCCUCGACACUAGUUAGUUAUUGAGGAUGGAAAAGACUCCUUACUACUUCACCUUAGUCCCCUGAUUUGACAUUCAGAGUGUCAUGAAACCACUUAUCCAAAACCAUAAACUGAUAGGAAGAUGUACAUGAACAAGAAACAGAAUAUUCUCUGUCUUGUUCUUACUCUAUCUCAAGAGAUAUCAACUAACUUGUAUAUGCAAAUAACAUUAGUCUAAUUAUAACCAAGGAACUUCAUAUCAGAAAAACAUAAGAAAUCAAAAGAAAAUCCAAAAGGGUAGCUGAAUUAAAGAUCAAGUAGGAACCUUUGCAAUUAGAAUUUCGUUGGUGUGAGGGCCAUAGACAUCAGCAGUGUCAAGGAAUGUGACACCAGACUGAAUAGCAUGGUGGAUGAGAGCAACCAUGUCUGGUUCUGGUUUUGGAGGUCCAUAGCCAGAAGACAUUCCCAUGCAACCAAGUCCUUGCUGAGACACCUCCAAGCCCUGUGAACCCAACUUCAUUCUUCCAACUUUAGCCAUUGUUGUAAUGUGAAGAUGAUGGUAGCACUAUGAUAUCAGUGGAAGAAGCUGAAUGAAGCUUUGUGAAUGUUAAUUGUCAAAUGACUAUAGCUGUGAAGCGUCAAAUGGCUGAGUAUAGUUAUUCUAAACAAGAAAGUAAAUAUAAUUUUAAUAAAAAAACUUGUCCCACUCCAAGCAGCCAUUAUAGAAUAUAGCAAUUAGAAAAAGAACCCCACAAGCCCACCCCCAUUUAACUAAUCAAAUGGUGGACCUCUUAUUUUCUUUAAAAAAUGUUAAUAGGACCUUUCACCUCAUAUAUUUACAUUGAAAAACUACUGGAUCUUGAAGAAAUAAAAUAACACAAAAUGAGUACUUACUUGUUAGUUAUAUUCAUCCACUUAUGACCAUAAAUUUUAAUAUUAAAAACAAAAUACAAAUCACUGAAUCAUUUAGAUAUGAAACUUUGCUUCCACCUUAGUCAAAGAUUAAUAGUAGAAGGCAUGCCAAUGCACUUUUGAUGUGCUUAAGUCUUUUGUUUAUUUAGACGGAGAAAUACACAAGACACACACAUGAAGUUAUCUGCAAUAGAGUUCAAACUUCAGAUCACUUAAUUAAUUGAAAGAACAAAUCAACAGCAAGAAAAUUAAACAGCUUUCCAAGAAGAGAGUGGUGGAGUAUCAGAGUUCUUCCAGGUACUUAGAUCGCCGGCGUAUCUAUCACCCUUGACUGCAUCCGCGGCAGCAAAGGACUCGAGUUCUGCCAUUUCUUGUGGUGCAAGUUUCACAGAUAAAGCAGCAAUGUUUUGGUUAAAAUUGUCAACUUUGGUGGUUCCAGGAAUGGGGCAGACAUCAUUUCCUUGGUGGUGAACCCAUGCCAAUGCAAGCUGAGAUGGAGUGCAUCCCUUCUUCGCCGCCAUUUCAUUAACCCUCUCAAAUAUAGUCUUGUUCUUCUCCAGAUUCUCAGGUUGGAAUCUAGGCAGAUUCUGUAACACACAUAAGAUUAACCAAGCUACUUUACUUGUUUAACUUUGUUGAUCGAGAAAACUGUAUUCUGUUUUAUGUGUUCAGUUAGUAAUCAUCAUUAUUAUAUGAUAAAAUGCUAAGUAUAUAACUAAAGGAAGAUCAAUACAGAAAAUAAUAGCGAGUUCAUGAUUAAAGUUUGAACUAAUGAAAAAUCGUAAAUAAUGCCAAGGUACACUUAAUUAUGAAAAUGCUCAAGUAAUUAGCACUAACUUGUGUUAACACAAACCUGUCUGAAGUCACCCUCAGAUAAAUUCUCAAGUAUCUUUGUUCCUGAUGAAAGGAAUCCUCUCCCAAGAGGACUAUAUGCAACAAUUCCAAUACCAAGUUCCCUGAGAAGUAUAAAAUUUAAAAGCCAUGAAAUUAAAUUGUGGAUCAUAUAUUUAUAUUGAUGAUAUAGGCUAUGAUAAUCCAAUCAUAUAGAUCAUAGUAACUUCUAUACAAUGUAUGCCAUUGGAUCAUCUUAGUGUUUCAAACAUCGAGUUAUUCGUUGUCUUAAACUGCACCUGCAAGUUGGAAUCACUUCUUCUUCAACAUCUCUUGACCAAAGAGACCAUUCUAACUGCACAGCUGAUAUGGGAUGAACAGCAUGUGCUCUUCUGAUUGUUGAAGCUGAAGCCUCGGAUAGACCAAUGUAUUUUAUUUUUCCCUCCUCAACAAGCUUCUUAAGCUCACCAAUCUUAACUUGAAAUUGAAGAAGUGAAAAAAAUUGAAGUAAUCACACAUAAAGUAGUCUAUUUUUUUACUUCAUGCUCUUAACAAUUAAAAUGUCAGUUCCAUAUAACAGAUUGCAUUUCCAUAAGAAUAUGAUAUUCAAUCUUGUUAACUGAUAGAGAAUUAUAGAAUAAAAUGGAAUACAAUGAAACAUUUAAACAUGUGUUCACCGAAGUAGUCCUAAAGAUUCAAGAUUAACUAAAUAAUAGUAUUAGCACAGAGAAAGAUUCAAACCGUUAUUUCGAUUGGAACACGUGUAUCAAUUCGAUGUUGGUAAUAGAGAUCUAUACAAUCAAUUUCAAGUCUCUUCAAGCUUCCCUCACAGGCAGCUCUCACAUAUGAUGGAUCACCACGGUUCUCAAACUUUUCAUCAUCAGAAAUGCUGAUACCAAAUUUGGUUGCCAAUUCAACCUUCCCUCUCACCCCUCCCUUCAAAGCCUGCUCAAAGUUCCAAACAUUUCAUCAUAAUAUCAUAUGCACAAGCCAAAACAAAAAUUAUGACAUAAUAAGAAAUGACAUUAUUCAUUUAUAAAAUUCAAACUUGAGAACUUGCUUAAGAAGAAUCCAUGAUCAAUAACAGAGAGAAAAGCAACACAAAAUCUUGAAAACACUCGGUAUUUUUUCACUUGGAUAAAAUCAACUGAACUGUUUAUAUCAACUUAUCUGUCUCCAAUUAAGUCCAAGGAUCAGAACAACCAAAAAAAAAAAAAUUGAAGAAAAGUCAAAAGGGUAGGUGAAUCAAAGCUCAAGUAGGAACCUUUCCAAUCAGAAUUUCAUUGGUGUGAGGACCAUAGACAUCAGAGGUAUCAAGGAAUGUGACACCACUUUGAACAGCAUGGUGAAUGAGAGCAACCAUGUCAGGUUCUGGCUUUGGAGGUCCAUAGUAAGCAGACAUUCCCAUGCAACCAAGUCCUUGCUGAGAUACCUCCAAACCUUGUGAUCCCAGUUUCAUUCUUCCAACUUUAGCCAUUGCUGUGUUGUGGUGAUGAUGUGCUUGCAAGUUGCAACUAUGAUCAGUGUUCGAAGAGUGAUGCAGAAGUUUUAUUUGGCUUCUUUGAAUGAAUGUUCUGAGCUAUGUGCCUACUCUUAUAAGUAGUUGAAAACUCCAUCAUGACAGCAAGGCAAAGAUUAUUAAUUAAUAUCAUAUUAUUAAUCAUUCACUUCAUUAGAAAUCAUUAUGACUAAUGAGGAUAAAUUUAUGACUAUCUCCAUGUUGAAAUAGUAUUUACAACACUUUUUAUGUACCAGUAUAUAUAUAUUUAAGGUUCCGAUUGUUGGAUACGUUUGUUCUUGAUUGGUAUAUUUCAAUACUUUUAUUUUUCAGUAGGUACAAAAUAAAAUAAAUUAUCUGUAAGAGAAUAUGCCCUAGGUCUUAAUUAUGUUGGUUUUCAUCUCUGAUAUAGUGAUAUGUCUUUAUCUUCUUAAAUGCAAUGAAGUUAAAUGGAUUUGGUAUUUGAUUAUCUCACUAAAGUUGAGGUUUUGGUGGGCUCAAUAAACUAGAUCAGCAUAAUAUAGUGCAAUUUAGGUAAUGCCAAAAGCACAGUGCUCCUCUUCCUUUUGAAUGCUUUUCUAAACAAAAACAAUACUAAACUAAAAAUAAAAUAAGGGGAGUGGAGGAAGUCAUAAUUCCUAUCACAAUAUCUGGUUCUGGUUUUGGAGGUCCAUAGCCAGAAGACAUUCCCAUGCAACCAAGUCCUUGCUGAGACACCUCCAAGCCCUGUGAACCCAGCUUCAUUCUUCCAACUUUAGCCAUUGUUGUCAUGUGAAGAUGAUGGUAGCACUAUGAUAUCAGUGGAAGAAGCAGAAUGAAGCUUUGUGAAUGUUAAUUGUCAAAUGACUACAGCUGUGAAACCUCAAAUGGCUGAGUAUAGUUAUUCUAAACAAGAAAGUAAAUAUAGUUUUUAUAAAAAAAAUUGUCCCACUCCCAGCAGCCAGUAUAGAAUAUAGCAAUUAGAAAAAGAACCCCACAAACCCACCCCAUUUAACUAAUCAAACGGUGUACCUAACUUUUAUUUUCUUUAUAAAAAUGUUAAUAGGACCUUUCACCUCAUAUAUUUACAUUGAAAAACUUACUUGUUAGUACAUUCAUUCACUUAUGACCAUAAUUUUUAACAUAAGAAAAAAAUACAAAUCACUGAAUCAUUUAGAUAUGAAACUUUGCUUUCACCUUGGUCAAAGAUUAAUAGUAGAAGGCAUGGCAUUGUUGAUGUGCUUAAGUCUUUUGUUUAUUAAGACAGAGAAACACACACACAUACAUGAAGUUAUCUGGAACAGAGUUCAAACUUCAGAUCACUUAAUUAAUUGAAAGAACAACUCAACAGCAAGAAAAUUAAACAACUUUCCAAGAAGAGAGUGGUGGAGUAUCAGAGUUCCUCCAGGUAAUUAGAUCGCCGGCGUAUCUACCACCCUUGACAACAUCUGCGGCAGCAAAGGACUCGAGUUCUGCCAUUUCUUGUGGUGCAAGUUUCACAGAUAAAGCACCAAUGUUGUUGUUAAGGUUCUCAAGUUUGGUGGUUCCGGGAAUGGGGCAGACAUCAUUGCCUUGGUGGUGAAGCCAUGCCAAUGCAAGCUGAGAUGGUGUGCAUCCUUUCUUUGCGGCCAUUUCUUUUUUUUUUUUUUUAAUGUAUGUAUCAUUGAUGAACAUUUGAAAAACAUAAUAUAGUAAGAUGCAAGUGUUAUGAAAUGAAUAUAUAUUAUCAUAUAUCUUUUUAGGUCACCGAUCAACAAAAUCCUAAUAAUAUUAGUAGGUAACUUAUCUACUAAAGUUUGACUUGUUAAGAUUUGUGAAAGAAUAUGUAACUGAGUACAAAACAUGAUUAUGAAAAUGACAAGUGAUCAGAGCAUGAAUUUCUAUAAUCGCACACAUAUGACACAAACCUUCCUGAAGUCGUCCUGUGAUAAAUUAUCAAGCAACUUUGAUCCGGAUGAAAAGAAUCCGCAGCCAAGAGGACUGUAUGCAACAAUUCCAAUGCCAAGUUCCCUGAAAAGGACAAUAGUUGGAAGCCAAAAACUCAGACAUUGUAUCAUGAUGUUUUAUGAGAAGUCCUAGAAAGAGAUUUGCUUGUUAACAAGAACAUUAAUACUUGUGAAUGAUUAGAUUCAAACCUGCAAGUUGGAAUCACUUCUUCUUCAACAUCUCUUGACCAAAGAGACCAUUCUAACUGCACAGCUGAUAUGGGAUGAACAGCAUGUGCUCUUCUGAUUGUUGAAGCUGAAGCCUCGGAUAGACCAAUGUAUUUUAUUUUUCCCUCCUCAACAAGCUUCUUAAGCUCACCAGUCUUAACUUGAAAUUGAAGAAGUGAAAAAAAUUGAAGUCAUCACACAUAAGGUAGUCUAUUUUUAUUACUUCAUGCUCUUAACAAUUACCAUAAAAGUAGAUGAAGUGGAUAGAUUUCGACAAAAAUGGGGAUUUUUCUGUUAAAUCUUUCCUUAAUAUUAUUUAUAAGGACAGGAAUAGAGAGACGGAUUCCAACAUGUAUAAUUUUGCUAAAAAGUUGUGGGUUGGCUUUGUUCCUCCUAGAGUGGAGCUCCUCACUUAGUUUAUAGUUCUAGGAAGACUAAAUACAAAGGAUAGGCUGUGCAAUUUGAAGAUGCUUCGGAGUGAGGAUGUGAAGUGCGUGCUUUGUGGUUCUAGACCUGAGUCUGUCCACCACAUUUUCUUUGCAUGUGACUGGUCUUGGAAUUUAUGGGUUGUGAUCCUUCAAAGGUGGGGUCUAUCUUGGGUGUGGCCGAAUUUAGCAAAAGAUUGCUUUGACUGCUGGGUGGAUUUAAGGCUUGGUAAUAUACAAAAGUGUGAAUGGAUUAUUUGCUUCUUUGCAACGGUGUGGACUAUAUGGAAGGAGCGCAACUGCAGAAUUUUUUGCAAGAAGGAAAGAUCCUUUGAGGCAUGUGUAAGCGACAUUCAAUUCCUGGUCAACCAAUGGUGUAAUUAUAGGCACAGUAAUUAUGGUUGAAACUGCUUAUUUGUGAUUUUUAGUGGUGUGGGUUUGUUUCUCAGGGACUCGUUGUUCGUGUUGUUUUUUUGUUCUGUUGGCGGUCCUAGGCUUCUUAGUGCCUUCGAGGUUUUUGACAUUCGUGUAAUAGUCUAGAUCUUUAGCUUAUGUCUUUGUUGUUUUAUGUUUGGUUCUUGUUUUGUUUAGUUUAAGUUUCGUUUUUUCUUGUUGUCUGUAGCUUGCUCUCACUUCCCUCUUUGGGAUUUAAGUGAGUUCUAAAACUAUCAAAAAAAAAAAAAAAACAAUUAACAUACUAAAUGUCAGUUCCAUAAAACGGAUUGCAUUUCCUUAACAAUAUGAUAUUCAAUCUUGUUAAGUGAUGAAUAAUUCAAACAUAAGUGUUCACUGAACUAGUUAAAUGUGAAAUUCAAGGUUAUUAAUUUCUCGAGUUAACUCGUAAACUCUUAUGGUUCAAGUUGACCUAAAGACUUAUUUUAUGAUAGAGAAAGAUUCAAACCGUUAUUUCGAUUGGAACACGUGUAUCGAUUCGAUGUUGGUAAUAGAGAUCUAUGCAAUCAAUGUCAAGUCUCUUCAAGCUUCCUUCACAGGCAGCUCUCACAUAUGAUGGAUCACCACGGUUCUCAUAUUUUCCAUCAUCAGAAAUGCGGAUACCAAACUUGGUUGCCAAUUCAACCUUCUCUCUCACCCCUCCACUCAAAGCCUGUCUCAAAGUUCCAAACAUUUCAUCAUAAUAUCAUAUGCACAAGCCAAAACAAAAUUGUGACAUAAAAUUCAAACUUGAGAACUUGCUUAAGAAGAAUCCAUGAUCUAUAACAGAGAAGAAAGCAACAUAAAAUCUUGAAUCACUCGUUAUUUUUUUCACUUGGAUAAGAUCAACUGAACUGUUUAUGUCAACUUAUCUGUCUCCAAUUAAGUCCAAGGAUCAGAACAACUAAAAAAAAUAAAAAAUCAGAAGAAAAGUCAAAAGGGUAGGUGAAUCAAAGCUCAAGUAGGAACCUUUCCAAUCAGAAUUUCAUUGGUGUGAGGACCAUAGACAUCAGAGGUAUCAAGGAAUGUGACACCACUUUGAACAGCAUGGUGAAUGAGAGCAACCAUGUCAGGUUCUGGCUUUGGAGGUCCAUAGUAAGCAGACAUUCCCAUGCAACCAAGUCCUUGCUGAGAUACCUCCAAACCUUGUGAUCCCAGUUUCAUUCUUCCAACUUUAGCCAUUGCUGUGUUGUGGUGAUGAUGUGCUUGCUAGUUGCAACUAUGAUCAGUGUUCGAAGAGUGAUGCAGAAGUUUUAUUUGGCUUCUUUGAAUGAAUGUUCUGAGCUAUUUGCCUACUCUUAUAAGUAGUUGAAAACUCCAUCAUGAUUGCAAGGCAAAGAUUAUUAAUUAAUAUCAUAUUAUUAAUCAUUCACUUCAUUAGAAAUCAUUAUGACUAAUGAGGAUAAAUUUAUGACUAUCUCCAUGUUGAAAUAGUAGUUACAACACUUAGGUAAAAUAUAUUAUUUUUAUCAAAGAUUAUGUACCAGUAUAUAUAUAUAUUUAAGGUUCCGAUUGUUGGAUACGUUUGUUCUUGAUUGGUAUAUUUCAAUACUUUUAUUUUUCAGUAGGCACAAAAUAAAAUAAAUUAUCUGUAAGAGAAUAUGCCCUAGGUCUUAAUUAUGUUGGUUUUCAUCUCUGAUAUGUCUUUAUCUUCUUAAAUGCAAUGAAGUUAAAUGGAUUUGGUAUUUGAUAAUCUCACUAAAGUUGAGGUUUUGGUGGGCUCAAUAAACUAGAUCAGCAUAAUAUAGUGCAAUUUAGGUAAUGCCAAAAGCACAGUGCUCCUCUUCCUUUUGAAUGCUUUUCUAAACAAAAACAAUACUAAACUAAAAAUAAAAUAAGGGGAGUGGAGGAAGUCAUAAUUCCUAUCACAAUAUCUGGUUCUGGUUUUGGAGGUCCAUAGCCAGAAGACAUUCCAUGCAACCAAGUCCUUGCUGAGACACCUCCAAGCCCUAUGAACCCAGCUUCAUUCUUCCAACUUUAGCCAUUGUUGUAAUGUGAAGAUGAUGGUAGCACUAUGAUAUCAGUGGAAGAAGCUGAAUGAAGCUUUGUGAAUGUUAAUUGUCAAAUGACUACAGGUGUGAAACCUCAAAUGGCUGAGUAUAGUUAUUCUAAACAAGAAAGUAAAUAUAAUUUUAAUAAAAAAAAUUGUCCCACUCCCAGCAGCCAUUAAAGAAUACAGCAAUUAGAAAAAGAACCCCACAAACCCACCCCCAUUUAACUAAUCAAAUGGUGGACCUCACUUUUAUUUUCUUUUAAAAAAUGUUAAUAGGACCUUCCACCUCAUAUAUUUACAUUGAAAAACUAUUGGAUCUUGAAGAAAUAAAUAAAACAAAAUGAGUACUUACUUGUUAGUUACAUUCAUUCACUUAUGACCAUAAUUUUUAACAUAAAAAAGAAAUACAAAUCACUGAAUCAUUUAGAUAUGAAACUUUGCUUUCACCUUGGUCAAAGAUUAAUAGUAGAAGGCAUGCCAUUGUUGAUGUGCUUAAGUCUUUUGUUUAUUUAGACAGAGAAACACACACACAUACAUGAAGUUAUCUGGAACAGAGUCCAAACUUCAGAUUACUUAAUUAAUUGAAAGAACAAAUCAACAGCAAGAAAAUUAAACAGCUUUCCAAGAAGAGAGUGGUGGACUAUCAGAGUUCUUCCAGGUAAUUAGAUCGCCGGUGUAUCUAUCACAUUUGACAGCGUCCACAACAGAAAAGGACUCGAGUUCUGCCAUUUCUUGUGGUGCAAGUUUCACAGAUAAAGCACCAACGUUUUGGUUAAAAUUGUCAACUUUGGUGGUUCCAGGAAUGAGGCAGUCACCAUUUCCUUGGUGGUGAACCCAUGCCAAUGCAAGCUGAGAUGGAGUGCAUCCCUUCUUCGUCGCCAUUUCAUUUACCCUCUCGAAUAUAGUCUUGUUCUUCUCCAGAUUCUCAGGUUGGAAUCUAGGCAGAUUCUGUAAGUGAACACAUAAGAUUAACCAAACUACUUUACUUGUUUAACUAUGUUGAGUUAAUUAGCAAUCAUCAUUAUUAUGUGUUAUAAUGCUAAGUAUAUAAAUAAAGGAGAUCAAUACAGAAAUUAAUAGUGACUUCAUGAUUAAAGUUUGAACCAACAAAAAAUUGUAAAAAAUGCCAAGCUACACUUAAUUAUACAAAUGCACAAGUAAUUAGCACUAAUUUGUGUUAACACAAACCUGUCUGAAGUCACCCUCAGACAAAUUCUCAAAGGAUCUUCAUGUUUCUUUGUGGCAAAAGAGAAUGAGAAGGAUGAAGAGGCCUUAUUUGUUCUCCUUUGCAGGCGCCCCAACGCCUAAUGCACCGGAUUCCAUCAGAAACGAGCUGAUCAGACAAUGCCAGUCUUCUAGCAGUUGCAAACUCCUAGGAUGCUACAGGGGUAAAAACAACAAAAAUACUUGUGAAGAUCCGGUCAGCGUCAUGAGUGUUUUUCAAAGAUCAAUUUGCUUGGAGCCGUCUGGCGAUUCCUACACGAGGAGAUCAACUUUCGACGCAAUCUUAGCCGGCUGCAUACCGGUUUUUUUCCAUCCAAAGUCAGCUUAUGAACAAUAUAGUUGGCAUUUACCAAAAGACUAUUUGAGCUACUCUGUGUUCAUACCUGAAGGUGAUGUUAGAGAGAACAAAUGAGAAGGGAAGGUUGAGGAUGCAUUUGAUAUAGCUGUUAAGGGUAUUAUAAUAUUAUUAGAAGAGUAGAAGAAAUGAGAAGGGAGAUUUCAUCAUCAACAAACAAUGGUUAUUAUUCUAAUGAAUGAAGAUGGUUCAUAAGGUCUCAAAUUUGCUCAUGGGUUUUUCUCACCCUUUUGGAGAUGAUCUUGCAUGCAUGGAUGAUGUUGUUAGUUAGAAAUCUUCAUUACAAAUCAGUUGAAAGGUCUAAUUAUUUGGAUUUCAUUUUUGUGUUUGAUCUUCGUCAGAGUCAGAAAAAUCUUUGACAUAUUGAGUUAAGUCUUAGUACUAUGAAUACCAAAUAUUACUACAUAUUGCUUCAAUUAGAAUAAAAAAAUGAAAUUCUUACAUGAUACAAAUAGUUAUCUUUUUAAUGUUUUUCAUGACACAAAAAAAUUUAUGGUUGGCCAGUUGAGUGAUUUAUAAACAUUUUUAUUAAUUGUUUUAAAAAUUCUAUGAUGAAACCGAGAUGUAAACUAUGUUUUGUAGAAUACAUAUGAAGUUAUCUGCAAUAGAAUCCAAAAACCACUUCGAAGUUAAGAAUACAAAAUCAGCAGCCAGAAAUUUGAAAGAUUCACUGAUGUAACCAAAUUUAUUUCAAAAGGGAACACCUAAAUGCACUUCAUACUGAUCUAUUUAUUGAAAGUAAUAAAGUAUCAACACUCCAGAGGGUGAAAUGGUAAAUUAAACAUUAAGUGAUGAACUUGAUUAAACAGCUUUCCAAGAAGAAAGUAGUGGAGUAUCAGAGUUCUUCCAUGUAGGUAUAAGAUUAUCUGGAUAUCUACCACCCUUGACCACAUCUGCGGCAGCAAAGGACUCGAGUUCUGUCAUUUCUUGUGGUGUAAGUUUCACAGACAAGGCUCCAAUGUUGUCGUUAAGGUUCUCAAUUUUGGUGGUUCCGGGUAUGGGGCAGACAUCAUUGCCUUGGUGGUGAAGCCAUGCCAAUGCAAGCUGAGAUGGUGUGCAUCCUUUCUUUGCGGCCAUUUCAUUGACCCUCUCAAAUAUAGUCUUGUUUGACUCCAGGUUUUCAGGUUGAAAUCUAGGCAGAGCCUGCAAACACACAAGUUUUUUUUUUAUGAACAUUUGAAAAACAUAAUAUAGUAAGAUGCAAGUGUUAUGAAAUGAAUAUAUAUUAUCAUAUAUCUUUUUAGGUCACUGAUCAACAAAAUCCUAAUAAUAUUAGUAGGUAACUUAUCUACUAAAGUUUGACUUGUUAAGAUUUGUGAAGGACACCAAGUUUUUAAAUAGGUGAAAAUAUGUAACUGAGUACAAAACAUGAUUAUGGAAAUGCACAAGUGAUCAGAGCAUGAAUUUCUGUAAUCGCACACGUGACACAAACCUUCCUGAAGUCGUCCUGUGAUAAAUUAUCAAGCAACUUUGAUCCGGAUGAAAAGAAUCCGCGGCCAAGAGGACUAUAUGCAACAAUUCCAAUGCCAAGUUCCCUGAAAAGGACAAUAGUUGGAAGCCAAAAAUUCAGACAUUGUAUCAUGAUGUUUUAUGAGAAGUCCUAGAAAGAGAUUUGCUUGUUAACAAGAACAUUAAUACUUGUGAAGGAUUAGAUUCACACCUGCAAGUUGGAAUCACUUCUUCCUCAACAUCUCUUGUCCAAAGAGACCAUUCAAUUUGCACAGCUGUUAUGGGAUGAACAGCAUGUGCUCUUCUGAUUGUUGAAGCCGAUGCCUCACUUAGACCGAUGUACUUUAUUUUUCCCUCCUCAACAAGCUUCUUAAGCUCCCCCAUCUUGAUUAAAUUUUACAAGGGAAAAAUUUGAAGUCAUCAUACACAACCCUUAAUAUAUGUAAUUAUCUCAUAUCCUAGCUCUAGGAUUGUAACAGAUGUCAAUUCCAAAACAUGUCGCAUACUCACAUUUCCUUAACUAUAUGAUAUAAAAGCUUGGAAAUAGACUAAAGCAUUAUAGGAUACAAAGACAUAUAUUCUAAAUGCAGAUUGGGGUUAUUGUAUAGCACAAUACAGGGCUAAGUAAGUUCUUUGUUGAUGCAAACAUUGUGAUUCAAACCUACCAAAUUACAUAAUAUACUACCAAAUUGUAAGUUAACCUAUGUAUAUCUGGAAUAAUAGUAGACAAUUUACAAGGUUCAACUUCCCUGAAUAAAUAAUUUCAAGUUGGUGAUAACAGAGCUAUCAUAAGGCAAAGAAAGAAGAACAAAGAAAGGGGUAAAACCGUGACUUCAAUUGGCACGCGAGUAUCAACUCUAUGCUGGAUAUAGAGAUCAAUGCAAUUAAUGUCAAGUCUCUUCAAGCUUCUUUCACAGGAAGCUCUCACAUAUUCUGGAUCUCCAUGGAUCUCAAACUUCCCAUCCUCAAUAAAAUUGAUUGAAAACUUGGUUGCCAAUUCAACCUUCUCUCUCAGCCCUCCCUUCAAAGCCUGCCCCAAAAUUGAAAUUAACUACAACAAAAGUACAUGAUAUCUUCACAUAGAAAAAGUAGAUAUCCCAAGAACAUUUUUUAUUUUUGUUUUGGUUACUCAGCAUAUCCACCAUCAAACACAAUGACUAAUCCUCAAAAGACAUGAUACAAAAUUUUCUGUCUUAUUUUAUCUCAGGAGAUAGCAACUAACUACUAUAUGCAAAUAGCAUUAGUCUAAUUAAAACUAAGGAACUUCUCAGAAGAACAUAAGGAAUCAAAAGAAAAUCCAAAAGGGUAUCUGAAUCAAAGUUCAAGAAGGAACCUUUCCAAUUAGAAUUUCAUUGGUGUGAGGGCCAUAAACAUCAGCAGUGUCAAGGAAAGUGACCCCACUUUGAACAGCAUGCUGAAUGAGAGCAACCAUGUCAGGCUCUGGUUUUGGAGGUCCAUAGACAGCAGACAUUCCCAUGCAACCAAGUCCUUGCUGAGACACCUCCAAGCCCUGUGAUCCCAGCUUCAUUCUUCCAACUUUAGCCAUUGUUGUGAUGUGAAGAUGGUAGUAACACUAUGAUAUCAGUGAUCAGAAUAUAUAGAAGAAGCUGAAUGAAGAAGCUUUGUGAACGUCUCUCACUUCUCAACUAAAAAGCAGCUCACACUUCAUAAUUCGUAUAUUAUACAUCUAUAAUAACAAAGGUGAUGAAUUUUAAAGGAAAUAUAUAUUUUUGUCAAAUAUUUCUCCACAAAGCAUAAAGCUUAUCAAAACCAUUUACAGGAUUAGUAUUUUGUAAAAAGAAGAAAGUGUGUAAUUUUCUUUUUCAAAAAGAAAAAAUGACUUAAUUCACUUUUAUUGGUUCACAUAAUAUUUCUUAUUCAUUUCUUUUCUUUUAUUAUAAAUUUUUUAUUUUUUUAUUCUAAUGCACACAUGACACUUGUUUUUAUAUUCUUGAUCAUAUAAAACACAUCUUUCUGUCCUAUUGAUAACAUUCACUUUCGAAAGGAAUCACUUUAAAGAUGCUGUUUUUUUUUAAAGAAAAAAUUAUAUACUGCUAUAAAGAGUGUGCAAAUGUUUUUUUUUCUUAGACCAAAGACUUGGCAUAUGGACAUGGUAUCAGUCAUGAUCACACACCUUUCUAAUAUUUUACUGGUCUAAGGUUCUGCAUAUGAUGAUAGUGUAUUUUGUUUUUUGUUGUUUUAAAGUAAAUAUUUAAUUUUGUUCUUAAAAUUGUACUGUUGAAUUAAUUUGAUCUUUAAAAUUUUUGGGAAAAAAAAAGUGAGUUACAUUAGUUUUGGUAAAUACAAGGAGGAAGAAUGAAUAGAGUAAAUUAUCAUUUUUUGUAUAUUUUCAUAUUUUGUCAAAUUUCAAUCAUUUUUAGAAGGUCAAAAUAUUAUUUUAUUUUUAUUUCAAGGGUUAUUCUGUAAAAUUUUUUUUGAAUCUUUUGGUAAUAAAAUAGUAUUUUACCCGUAAAAGUAAUAUUAUUGACUAAAAAAAAAUUGUUAGUCACCUAAAUUUUCUCAUUUUUUAUUUUCAAAAAAAAAAAAAAAAAGUUCACUGAAUCAUUCAGAUAUGAAACUUUGCUUCCACCUUAGUCAAAGAUUAAUAGUAUAAGCCUUUUGUUUAUUUAGACAUAGAAACACACACAUCAAGUUAUCUGCAACAGAGUUCAAACUUCAAACCACUUAAUUAAUUAAAAGAACAAAUCAACAGCAAGAAAAUUAAAUAUCUUUCCAAGAAGAGAGUGGUGGAGUAUCAGAGUUCUUCCAUGUUCUCAGAUCUCCGGCGUAUCUAUCACCCUUGACAGUGUCCGCGGCAGCAAAGGACUCGAGUUCUGCCAUUUCUUGUGGUGCAAGUUUCACAGAUAAAGCAGCAAUGUUUUGGUUAAAAUUGUCAACUUUGGUGGUUCCAAUGCAAGCUGAGAUGGAGUGCAUCCCUUCUUCGCAGCCAUUUCAUUAACCCCCUCGAAUAUAGUCUUGUUCUUCUUCAGAUUCUCAGGUUGGAAUCUAGGCAGAUUCUGUAACAGAACACAUAAGAUUAACCAAGCUACUUUACUUGUUUAACUUUGUUGAUCAAGAAAACUGUAUUCUGUUUAAUGUGUUCAGUUAGCAAUCAUCAUUAUUAUAUGAUAUAAUGCUAAGUAUAUAACUAAAGCAAGAUCAAUACAGAAAAUACAGAAAAUAAUAGUGAGUUCAUGAUUAAAGUUUGAACUAAUGAAAAUUUGUAAAAAAUGCCAAGGUAGCUCAAGUAAUUAGCACUAACUUGUGUUAACACAAACCUGUCUUAAGUCACCAUCAGAUAAAUUCUCAAGUAACUUUGUUCCUGAUGAAAGGAAUCCUCUCCCCAGAGGAUUAUAUGCAACAAUUCCAAUACCAAGUUCCCUGAGAAGUAUAAAAUUUAGAAGCCAUGAAACUAAAUUGUGGAUCAUAUAUUUAUAUUGAUGAUAUAGGCUAAGAUAAUCCAAUCAUAUAGAUCAUAGUAACUUCUAUACAAUCUAUGCCGUUGGAUCAUCUUAGUGUUUCAAACAUCUAGUUAUUCAUUCUCUUUAAACUGCACCUGCAAGUUGGAACCACUUCUUCUUCAACAUCUCUUGACCAAAGAGACCAUUCUAACUGCACAGCUGAUAUGGGAUGAACAGCAUGUGCUCUUCUGAUUGUUGAAGCUGAAACCUCGGAUAGACCAAUGUAUUUUAUUUUUCCCUCCUCAACAAGCUUCUUAAGCUCACCAAUCUUAACUUGAAAUUGAAGAAGUGAAAAAGUUGAAGUCAUCACACAUAAAGUAGUCUAUUUUUAUUACUUCAUGCUCUUAACAAUUAACAUACUAAAUGUCAGUUCCAUAAAACAGAUUGCAUUUCCUUAACACUAUGAUAUUCAAUCUUGUUAAGUGAUGAAUAAUUCAAACAUUAGUGUUCACUGAACUAGUUAAAUGUGAAAUUCAAGGUUAUUAAUUUCUCGAGUUAACUCGUAAACUCUUAUGGUUCAAGUUGACCUAAAGACUUAUUUUAUGAUAGAGAAAGAUUCAAACCGUUAUUUCGAUUGGAACACGUGUAUCGAUUCGAUGUUGGUAAUAGAGAUCUAUGCAAUCAAUGUCAAGUCUCUUCAAGCUUCCCUCACAGGCAGCUCUCACAUAUGAUGGAUCACCACAGUUCUCAAAUUUUCCAUCAUCAGAAAUGCGGAUACCAAACUUGGUUGCCAAUUCAACCUUCUCUCUCACCCCUCCACUCAAAGCCUGUCUCAAAGUUCCAAACAUUUCAUCAUAAUAUCAUAUGCACAAGCCAAAACAAAAUUGUGACAUAAAAUUCAAACUUGAGAACUUGCUUAAGAAGAAUCCAUGAUCUAUAACAGAGAAGAAAGCAACAUAAAAUCUUGAAUCACUCGUUAUUUUUUUCACUUGGAUAAGAUCAACUGAACUGUUUAUGUCAACUUAUCUGUCUCCAAUUAAGUCCAAGGAUCAGAACAACUAAAAAAAAUAAAAAAUCAGAAGAAAAGUCAAAAGGGUAGGUGAAUCAAAGCUCAAGUAGGAACCUUUCCAAUCAGAAUUUCAUUGGUGUGAGGACCAUAGACAUCAGAGGUAUCAAGGAAUGUGACACCACUUUGAACAGCAUGGUGAAUGAGAGCAACCAUGUCAGGUUCUGGCUUUGGAGGUCCAUAGUAAGCAGACAUUCCCAUGCAACCAAGUCCUUGCUGAGAUACCUCCAAACCUUGUGAUCCCAGUUUCAUUCUUCCAACUUUAGCCAUUGCUGUGUUGUGGUGAUGAUGUGCUUGCAAGUUGCAACUAUGAUCAGUGUUCGAAGAGUGAUGCAGAAGUUUUAUUUGGCUUCUUUGAAUGAAUGUUCUGAGCUAUGUGCCUACUCUUAUAAGUAGUUGAAAACUCCAUCAUGAUUGCAAGGCAAAGAUUAUUAAUUAAUAUCAUGUUUUUAAUCAUUCAUUUCAUUAGAAAUCAUUAUGACUAAUGAGGAUAAAUUUAUGACUAUCUCCAUGUUGUAAUAGUAGUUACAACACUUAGGUAAAAUAUAUUAUUUUUAUCCAAGAUUAUGUACCACUAUAUAUAUUUAAGGUUCCCAUUGUUGGAUUACGUUUGUUCUUGAUUGGUAUAUUUCAAUACUUUUAUUUUUCAGUAGGCACAAAAUAAAAUAAAUUAUCUGUAAGAGAAUAUGCCCUAGGUCUUAAUUAUGUUGGUUUUCAUCCCGGAUAUGUCUUUAUCUUCUUAAAUGCAAUGAAGUUAAAUGGAUUUGGUAUUUGAUUAUCUCACUAAAGUUGAGUUUUUGGUGGGGUUCAGUAAACUAGAUCAGCAUAAUUUAAUGCAAUUUAGUUAAUGCCAAAAGCACAGUGCUCUUCUUCCUUUUGAAUGCUUUUCUAAACAAAAACAAUACUAAACUAAAAAUAAAACAAGGGGAGUGGAGGAAGUCAUAAUUCCUAUCACAAUAUCUGGUUCUGGUUUUGGAGGUCCAUGCUUGCUGAGACACCUCCAAGCCCUGUGAACCCAGCUUCAUUCUUCCAACUUUAGCCAUUGUUGUAAUGUGAAGAUGAUGAUAGCACUAUGAUAUCAGUGGAUGAAGCUGAAUGAAGCUUUGUGAAUGUUAAUUGUCAAAUGACUACAGCUGUGAAACGUCAAAUGGCUGAGUAUAGUUAUUCUAAACAAGAAAGUAAGUAUAAUUAAAAAAAAAAAAAUUGUCCCACUACCAGGAGACAUUAUAGAAUAUAGCAAUUAGAAAAAGAAUCCCACAAACCCACCCCCAUUUAACUAAUCAAAUGGUGGACCUCACCUUUAUUUUCUUUAUAAAAAUGUUAAUAGGACCUUUCACCUCAUAUAUUUACAGUGAAAAACUAUUGGAUCUUGAAGAAAUAAAAUAGAACAAAAUGAAUACUUACUUGUUAGUUACAUUCAUUCACUUAUGACCAUAAUUUUUAACAUAAAAAAAAAUACAAAUCACUGAAUCAUUUAGAUAUGAAACUUUGCUUUCACCUUGGUCAAAGAUUAAUAGUAGAAGGCAUGCCAUUGUUGAUGUGCUUAAGUCUUUUGUUUAUUUAGACAGAGAAACACACACACAUACAUGAAGUUAUCUGGAACAGAGUUCAAACUUCAGAUUACUUAAUUAAUUGAAAGAACAAAUCAAGAGCAAGAAAAUUAAACAGCUUUCCAAGAAGAGAGUGGUGGACUAUCAGAGUUCUUCCAGGUAAUUAGAUCGCCGGUGUAUCUAUCACCCUUGACAGCGUCUGCAGCAAAGGACUCGAGUUCUGCCAUUUCUUGUGGUGCAAGUUUCACAGAUAAAGCACCAAUGUUUUGGUUAAAAUUGUCAACUUUGGUGGUUCCAGGAAUGGGGCAGACACCAUUUCCUUGGUGGUGAACCCAUGCCAAUGCAAGCUGAGAUGGAGUGCAUCCCUUCUUCGUCGUCAUUUCAUUAACCCUCUCGAAUAUAGUCUUGUUCUUCUCCAGAUUCUCAGGUUGGAAUCUACCAGAUUCUGUAAGUGAACACAUAAGAUUAACCAAACUACUUGACUUGUUUAACUAUGUUGAGUUAAUUAGCAAUCAUCAUUAUUAUGUGAUAUAAUGCUAAGUAUAUAAAUAAAGGAAGAUCAAUACAGAAAUUAAUAGUGACUUCAUGAUUAAAGUUUGAACCAACGAAAAAUUGUAAAAAAUGCCAAGCUACACUUAAUUAUACAAAUGCACAAGUAAUUAGCAGUAAUUUGUGUUAACACAAACCUGUCUGAAGUCACCCUCAGACAAAUUCUCAAAAGAUCUUCAUGUUUCUUUGUGGCAAAAGAGAAUGAGAAGGAUGAAGAGGCCUUAUUUGUUCUCCUUUGCAGGCGCCCCAAGGCCUAAUGCACCGGAUUCCUUUAGAAACGAGCUGAUCAGACAAGGCCAAUCUUUAGAAGUUGCAAACUCCUUGGAUGCUACAGGGGGAAAAACAACAAAAAUAUUUCUGAAGAUCCGGUCAGCAUCAUGAGUGUUUUUCAAAGAUCAAUUUGCUUGGAGCCGUCCGACGAUUCCUACACGAGGAGAUCAACUUUCGACGCAAUCUUUGCCGGCUGCAUACCGGUUUUUUUCCAUCCAAAGUCAGCUUAUGAACAAUAUAGAUGGCAUUUACCAAAAGACUAUUUGAGCUACUCUGUGUUCAUACCUGAAGGUGAUGUUAGAGAGAACAAAUCAAUUAUCAAUGACACAUUGGCUAGGGUUUCUAGGACUAGAAUUUCUAAGAUGAGAGAAGUUAUUAUUCCAAGAGUUACAUAAAAUGAACCAAGGUCUAGAUUAGGGAAAGUUGAGGAUGCAUUUGAUAUAGCAGUUAAGGGUAUUAUAAUAUUAUUAGAAGAGUAGAAGAAAUGAGAAGGGAGAUUUCAUCAUCAACAAACAAUGGUUAUUAUUCUAAUGAAUGAAGAUGGUUCAUAUGGUCUCGAAUUUGCUCAUGGGUUUUUCUCACACUUUUGGAGAUGAUCAUGCAUGCAUGGAUGAUGUUGUUAGUUAGAAAUCUUCAUUACAAAUCAGUUGAAAGGUCUAAUUAUUUGCAUUUCAUUUUUGUGUUUGAUAUUCGUCAGAGUCAGAAAAAUCUUUGACAUAUUGAAUUAAGUCUUAGUAUUAUGAAUACCAAAUAUUACUAUAUAUUGCUUCAAUUAGAAUAGAAAAAUGAAAUUCUUACAUGAUACAAAUAGUUAUCUUUUUAAUGUUUUUCAUGACACAAAAAAAUUUAUGGUUGGCCAGUUGAGUGAUUUAUAAACAUUUUUAUUAAUUGUUUUAAAAAUUCAUGAUGAAACCGAGAUGUAAACUAUGUUUUGUAGAAUACAUAUGAAGUUAUCUGCAAUAGAAUCCAAAAACCACUUCGAAGUUAAGAAUACAAAAUCAGCAGCCAGAAAUUUGAAAGAUUCACUGAUGUAACCAAAUUCAUUUCAAAAGGGAACACCUAAAUUCCCUUCAUACUGAUCUAUUUAUUGAAAGUAUCAACACUCCAGAGGGUGAAAUAGUAAAUUAAACAUUAAGUGAUGAACUUGAUUAAACAACUUUCCAAGAAGAAAGUGGUGGAGUAUCAGAGUUCUUCCAUGUAGGUAUAAGAUCAUCUGGAUAUCUACCACCCUUGACAACAUCUGCGGCAGCAAAGGACUCGAGUUCUGUCAUUUCUUGUGGUGUAAGUUUCACAGACAAGGCUCCAAUGUUGUCGUUAAGGUUCUCAAUUUUGGUGGUUCCGGGUAUGGGGCAGACAUCAUUGCCUUGGUGGUGAAGCCAUGCCAAUGCAAGCUGAG